This 1246-nucleotide long non-coding RNA is filed under the name Cricetulus griseus (Chinese hamster). Its description in RNAcentral is "lncRNA (ENSCGRG00015034099.1)". The record is from RNAcentral. Lineage: Eukaryota; Metazoa; Chordata; Mammalia; Rodentia; Cricetidae.
GUAGAGGCAUCUGAUGGAAGCUCAAGAAAGAAAUGGAAAACAUGCUUCAACAGUAUGUCAGUUUUCAAAUACGUCUUAAAAUCAUUUAAACACAUAUAAUGACCAACAUCAACCAGCUACAACCCUGAGACCUACAACAGUGACGUGCCUGCAAGAUAUACUGGUACAGUCGUGGCCAUAUUUGUUAUGGGAAGACCCAACCAUCUUUUCAUUGGAUACAAGGCCCAAUCCAUUACAUGGAGCCCAUAUAUGACACUGCUAUAGUAUCUAAGAACCUGAGACUGGUUAGGUAAUGAGCCCAGGGGAAAACCACAUACUAUUGUUACAAAAUGACUCCUAAUAACAUUCCGCUAUACCCAUAGAUCAGUGCUUUGUUCGGCCCUCAUCAGAUACAACAGAACUGACACACACAGAACAUGAACUCACAGAGGCUACAGCAGCAUGCAUAGUUCAAGCCAGACAGAGUCCCAACACUGAGAGGAGGAAGCGGAUGAGAGUCCCACCCCUAACCAAGAAACUAUAACUGGUUCCCACUGGCAAAGGGGAUGGAUCAGCAGCCAUGCCAUAACAACACUGAUGAAAACUACAGAGACUCACUGACUUGGAACUGAGGCCUCCUGAAAAUAGCCAUGUGCUGUGGCUCCGGUUGACUCUCCUCGGUGAGUACAACAGCCUGGAGGACAUAGCAUUGCAGCUAACUUAUCUGAGAAUGAAAAGUGAGACCAGAGUUCCUGGAAAUGAAACCUAGGACCUGACACGGAGCAAGACCAAAGCUUUGCUGGCUGAGAAAAGGCACACUUGAAGACAGUUUCCAAGUACUUCUACAAGUUCAAUAUGGGCUAUUAAAGUGAAAGAUGUUGCACAUGAAACAACUGCAUCCUUGAGCUAUGCUCGGUGUUGGUGGCUUUCCUUGAGGCUUGGGGCCUCAAGACUUCAUCAGCCACUCUGCAACACCCCAUGUGAACUCUUAGCAACAUGCAGUAUUUUGACAUCAGCCUGCUUGAGCUCCUUGAUCCUGAAACACUCUGUUCAUCAGUGUGUCCUCUUGCCAUUUUCAGAUAUUGGGUUACAGUCAACUGUAGGGUACACCUGUAGCCAGCCCCUAAACAGGCACGGCUACAGCAUCCCCUGCAGUCAACAUUUCAGGCUAUUGGCCUCUCAUUUGGUCUCUGAUUUCCUGUCUUUUUUCAGCAUUUCCCACAAACUCAGCUCACAGACAACUUUGACUUUUAGAGAACUAACAGAG